GGGUGUAAAGUUGUGGAAAGUGUUCAAAAAGAUAGGAAGAAGAGAAACCUGAAUGGGAAAGAAAUAGGACCAAGAAAGAAACCGAGAUAUGUAAUUUCACAGGGAAUGGGCAUUAUUGAUACAACGUAAUGAAAUGACAAGUUGGAGGAGGUCACGGAAAAGAGGGAAGAUGGGGCAGGAAGGAGGAAGGAGUAAGGAGGAAGGAGUACAGCACGUGAGUUCGUGUGUCAGAGAACGGGAUACUCAUAUAAGAGAAAGGGUCGGAUGCAAGCUGGAGUGGUCUAGCAC
Molecule: long non-coding RNA, 288 nt
Organism: Priapulus caudatus
Lineage: Eukaryota; Metazoa; Priapulida; Priapulimorpha; Priapulimorphida; Priapulidae
Exons: 4
Source: RefSeq, a predicted model, not a curated record